AUAAAGUUUAAUUUUAGCUUAAAAAUUUAUUUAAUUUUUUUUUUACAUGUAAAUUUUCGUAUGUUUUUAAUUAAAUUUAAAUAGUUUAUUUAAAAAAAUUUAUUCACAGUAUUUAAUUUUAAUAAUUUAAGAAAUUAAGAAUUAGAAAUAAAUUUUAAUAUUAACAAAUUUUGUGCCAGCAGUUGCGGUUAUACAAAAAAUGUAAAUAAAUUUUGUUAGUAAGUAAAUAUAUGAAUUAUUAAUUUUAAAUUAAAAUUUUAUUUAUUAGGUGAAAUUUGAAAUAAAAAAUUAAUUUAUAAAAAAGUUUUUAAUAUUAUGAAAUUUAUAUUUAAACUAGGAUUAGAUACCCUAUUAUUUUAAAUGUAAAAUAAAUUAUUAAAGUAGUAUUAGUUAUGUUCUUGAAAUUUAAAAAUUUUGGCGGUAUUUUAGUCUAUUUAGAGGAACCUGUUCUAUAAUUGAUAUUCCACGAUUAACUUUACUUAUUUUAUAAAUUUGUAUAUCGUUGUUAUUAGAAGAUUUUAAUAGAAAAUAAAUUUUUAAUAUUUUAUAUUAUAAAAUAUAUCAAAUCAAGGUGCAGUAUAUAUUUAAGAAGAAAUGGGUUACAAUAAAAAUAUUUAAACGGAUUAAAUUUUUAAUAAAAUUUAUAAAGGUGGAUUUAAUAGUAAUAAAAUUAAAUUAAAUUUUAUGAUUUUAGCUCUAAAAUAUGUACAUAUCGCCCGUCGCUCUUAUUAUAAAAUAAGAUAAGUCGUAACAUAGUAGAUGUACUGGAAAGUGUAUCUAGAAUAAC
RNAcentral lists this non-coding RNA (787 nucleotides) under Pterostichus niger. Lineage: Eukaryota; Metazoa; Arthropoda; Insecta; Coleoptera; Carabidae. The record is from RNAcentral.